RNAcentral lists this ribosomal RNA (464 nucleotides) under uncultured Klebsiella sp. RNAcentral describes it as "bacterial SSU rRNA". It matches the Rfam family "Bacterial small subunit ribosomal RNA", at positions 338 to 795 of the family's 1533-position model. Lineage: Bacteria; Pseudomonadati; Pseudomonadota; Gammaproteobacteria; Enterobacterales; Enterobacteriaceae. The record is from RNAcentral.
CCUACGGGGGGCAGCAGUGGGGAAUAUUGCACAAUGGGCGCAAGCCUGAUGCAGCCAUGCCGCGUGUGUGAAGAAGGCCUUCGGGUUGUAAAGCACUUUCAGCGGGGAGGAAGGCGGUGAGGUUAAUAACCUCAUCGAUUGACGUUACCCGCAGAAGAAGCACCGGCUAACUCCGUGCCAGCAGCCGCGGUAAUACGGAGGGUGCAAGCGUUAAUCGGAAUUACUGGGCGUAAAGCGCACGCAGGCGGUCUGUCAAGUCGGAUGUGAAAUCCCCGGGCUCAACCUGGGAACUGCAUUCGAAACUGGCAGGCUAGAGUCGUGUAGAGGGGGGUAGAAUUCCAGGUGUAGCGGUGAAUGCGUAGAGAUCUGGAGGAAUACCGGUGGCGAAGGCGGCCCCCUGGACAAAGACUGACGCUCAGGUGCGAAAGCGUGGGGAGCAAACAGGAUUAGAUACCCGGGUAGUC